This is a long non-coding RNA of Haemorhous mexicanus (house finch), 692 nucleotides long. RefSeq lists it as uncharacterized. The record is from RefSeq and is a predicted model, not a curated record. The transcript is spliced from 4 exons. Lineage: Eukaryota; Metazoa; Chordata; Aves; Passeriformes; Fringillidae.
CUUUCACAAGGUUUGCUGAGAAAAAAAUAACAGCAGAAUUGUUGUCAUUGAAUGUAGCUGCUAUAUCUGUGAAACAGCUGGACUUCUGGCAUCCUGAUUCCCAUUUUCUGGACAGACAGACAGACAGGGUACUGGAAGGUGAAUGCUCUUUAACUAUUGCAGCAAUACCAAAGCUGUUUCGUCCUCCUGAGAUGUGAAUUUCACUUUGUGGUCCAGGUGCACAACAAUGUGAAGCCAACAUUCAGUCAUCUUCUCUACAUAGCCUAUAUCAUGGCAUAUACUUCCAUGUGUUUUAUUCUACUGCACAUCACUAAUGGGAAAAACUGACACAAUUGAAGAGGGAUUUGCAGAACCUAGCUGAUCAUUAAGUAGGUUCUGUUUGGAUGUUAAUCACUUUAGUGAGCAUGCAGAGCAUCAAGCCUCAUGGAUUACAAGGAGAGAACACUGCCUAGGUAUCUGGAUUCAGAGAGAUGGUCCAUUGCUCAGCUCUGUCAUAACAGAUCUAAAAAUGACAAACUCUGUCACAAAGAUUUACAUUAGUAAAGAUUAGAUGGCUGCUCUUCUGGGGUGCUUAGGACUGUGACCUCCAGUUCAGGAAUCUAAAUUUUAUAUAUGUGUUUAUUUAGAAACUGAUGUUCCUUUUCAUUGUAAAAGGAGUUCCACUCAUCAUUUUAAACACCCAUCAGAGCCAA